UAUCUUUGUGCUCUGAGUUGAGGGAAGGCGGCCUCAUGGGUUCAAUUGCAGAAGGUGCUUUCUCAGUUGUAUGGCACCGCCUGGCCGCUUCAGACUAAAACUUGCAGCGUUGGUUUGGAGGAUCAGCCACUCUCCGUCGUGUCUCCAGUGGAUCUCUAGCCGUGCUUCAAUAGUUUGUUUCUCUGUGG
This is a long non-coding RNA of Alnus glutinosa, 188 nucleotides long. RefSeq lists it as uncharacterized. The record is from RefSeq and is a predicted model, not a curated record. Lineage: Eukaryota; Viridiplantae; Streptophyta; Magnoliopsida; Fagales; Betulaceae. The transcript is spliced from 3 exons.